AUUGAACGCUGGCGGCAUGCCUUACACAUGCAAGUCGAGCGGCAGCGCGGGGGCAACCCUGGCGGCGAGCGGCGAACGGGUGAGUAAUGCAUCGGAACGUGUCCUUUUGUGGGGGAUAACCAGUCGAAAGACUGGCUAAUACCGCAUGAGCUCGAGAGAGGAAAGCAGGGGACCGCAAGGCCUUGCGCGAGAGGAGCGGCCGAUGCCCGAUUAGCNGUUGGUGAGGUAACGGCUCACCAAGGCGACGAUCGGUAGCUGGUU
RNAcentral lists this ribosomal RNA (261 nucleotides) under uncultured bacterium. Its description in RNAcentral is "partial 16S ribosomal RNA". It matches the Rfam family "Bacterial small subunit ribosomal RNA", at positions 29 to 292 of the family's 1533-position model. The record is from RNAcentral.